RNAcentral lists this ribosomal RNA (403 nucleotides) under uncultured Bacteroidota bacterium. Its description in RNAcentral is "bacterial SSU rRNA". It matches the Rfam family "Bacterial small subunit ribosomal RNA", at positions 465 to 869 of the family's 1533-position model. Lineage: Bacteria; Pseudomonadati; Bacteroidota. The record is from RNAcentral.
UUGUUUGAAAGUACUUUAAGGAAUAAGCCCCGGCUAACUCCGUGCCAGCAGCCGCGGUAAUACGGAGGGUGCAAGCGUUAUCCGGAUUCAUUGGGUUAAAAGGGUGCGUAGGCGGAUUUUAAGUCAGUGGUGAAAUACUGCAGCUCAACUGUAGAACUGCCAUUGAUACUGGAAAUCUUGAGUAUGAUUGAUGUGGGCGGAAUACGUCAUGUAGCGGUGAAAUGCAUAGCUUAUGACGUAGAACACCGAUAGCGAAGGCAGCUCACACAGCCAUAACUGACGCUGAGGCACGAAAGCGUAGGUAGCAAACAGGAUUAGAUACCCUGGUAGUCUACGCUGUAAACGAUGAUCACUCGCUGUGGCGGAUACACUGUCAGCGGCCAAGCGAAAGCAUUAAAGGAUU